RNAcentral lists this long non-coding RNA (1245 nucleotides) under Equus caballus (horse). RNAcentral's name for it is "lncRNA (ENSECAG00000057639.1)". Lineage: Eukaryota; Metazoa; Chordata; Mammalia; Perissodactyla; Equidae. The record is from RNAcentral.
CUCUUCCUCCCGAAGAGUGUCCACGGACGCUCAGUGCGUCCUCACGCACUUUCCUGCUCCAAAAAUUUGGCUAAAGUUUUGUUGGAAAGUAGCAUCCAGAUGUGGAAGAUUUUCAAAAGUCGUGCGUAAAUUUAGGAACUAGAUCCAGAAAAAACGAUUACUCAGGGUGGUCAAAUGAAGGUGAAGUGCUGUAGAUAUGGUGUCGGUGAAUUUGCCGUCAAAAUGAACCACUUAAAGUCAAACGCAGAGAUGGUGACACUUCAGCGUACGUCCCCCAGGAACUAAGACAUUCUCCUGCGUCGCUGCUGUCUUAGUUUGUGCUGCUGUAACAGAAAACCCUAGACUCAGCGGUUUAGAACCAACGGAAAUUUAUUUCUCAGAGUUCUGGAGGCCGGAAGCCCGAGGUCAGAGUGCCAGCAGGAGUCAGCCAGUCCCCUCGUCUGUGUGAUGUACGUACGGCCAGCUUAUUUACUCGGGAGGACAGAGGGAAAAAAAUAACAGGAAACCAACCCACAUCAAACAAUGAAGAUGAAUAUCAAUAUUUGUUCCUUUCCGGAUAAGAGGAGUUAUGCACAGUAUUACGUCAUCAUAGCAGCACUUGAAAGAAUCGAAGUUGCUUUGAGCUUGAAGAAUUUCCAGUACAGCAAUUUGGCUGUUGUCAUCUAAAUGAAGUAAAGUUAAAAUAUAGCCUUUUAACAGAAGUAAGUAGAUAUUAUUCGAAGUAUCCAUGGUCGCCAUCUGGAAGCUGUGCUUGUUAUCAAACUUGAGAUCCAGGAACCUGGUCCGAUGCUGCCAGCAGAUGUUGCCAAAUUGCCGUCUAUACAGGAUGAACCACCUUACACUCCUACUGGUAAAAAUACCCUUUGGUUGUUUUCAGUUGUGAAAAUAAAUGAAGACCACCCAGACGAGGACACACAAAGGCUCUUUAUUCAAAGCUGGCUACAGCGAGGGUGUCAGUGCCGUCACAGGCUGCGCAGAGACUCGAAGGCGGCAGAGAUGGGACAGGCGUCAGGCACCGCCUGCUAGGAGGGCGCUGGCUGGGAAGCUGGAGGUGGCAGUGGUUCAUGCUUUCUGAUUGCUCUGUAGCAUCCUGUUGAAUGACUAUGCCACAAAACAGGGAAGGGCUGGAGUCUGCCCCACAUUGCUAACGCCAUUUCCUCACCUGUUGUGCAUCCUUCAGCCUCCUCCCCUAUCACAAGCAAAGAGAAUUCGCUGGCAUCAAUGCAACCAUGUUAGAAUAAAAGC